GACGAACGCUGGCGGCGUGCUUAACACAUGCAAGUCGAACGGAAAGGCCCUGCUUGCAGGGUACUCGAGUGGCGAACGGGUGAGUAACACGUGGGUGAUCUGCCCUGCACUUCGGGAUAAGCCUGGGAAACUGGGUCUAAUACCGGAUAGGAGCCAUUUUUAGUGUGAUGGUUGGAAAGUUUUUUCGGUGUAGGAUGAGCUCGCGGCCUAUCAGCUUGUUGGUGGGGUAAUGGCCUACCAAGGCGGCGACGGGUAGCCGGCCUGAGAGGGUGGACGGCCACAUUGGGACUGAGAUACGGCCCAGACUCCGACGGGAGGCAGCAGUGGGGAAUAUUGCACAAUGGGCGCAAGCCUGAUGCAGCGACGCCGCGUGGGGGAUGACGGCCUUCGGGUUGUAAACUCCGUUCGCUAGGGACGAAGCUUUUUGUGACGGUACCUAGAUAAGAAGCAUCGGCUAACUACGUG
RNAcentral lists this ribosomal RNA (465 nucleotides) under uncultured bacterium. RNAcentral's name for it is "partial 16S ribosomal RNA". It matches the Rfam family "Bacterial small subunit ribosomal RNA", at positions 28 to 507 of the family's 1533-position model. The record is from RNAcentral.